Molecule: ribosomal RNA, 401 nt
Filed under: uncultured soil bacterium
Lineage: Bacteria
Description: bacterial SSU rRNA
Rfam family: Bacterial small subunit ribosomal RNA
Source: RNAcentral
AGAACGAACGCUGGCGGCAGGCUUAACACAUGCAAGUCGAACGGUUGUAGCAAUACAGCAGUGGCAGACGGGUGAGUAACACGUGGGAACCUUCCUAGGGGUACGGAACAACUCAGGGAAACUUGAGCUAAUACCGUAUACGUCCGUGAGGAGAAAGAUUUAUCGCCCUUAGACGGGCCCGCGUAGGAUUAGGUAGUUGGUGGGGUAAUGGCCUACCAAGCCUACGAUCCUUAGCUGAUCUGAGAGGAUGAUCAGCCACACUGGGACUGAGACACGGCCCAGACUCCUACGGGAGGCAGCAGUGGGGAAUCUUGGACAAUGGGCGCAAGCCUGAUCCAGCCAUCGCCGCGUGAGUGAAGAAGGCCUUGGGUUGUAAGCUUCUUUUACCGAGGGACAGUAAU